UACGUAGGGUGCGAGCGUUAAUCGGAAUUACUGGGCGUAAAGCGUGCGCAGGCGGUUUUGUAAGCCAGAUGUGAAAUCCCCGGGCUUAACCUGGGAAUGGCAUUUGGGACUGCAAGGCUUGAGUGCGGCAGAGGAGACUGGAAUUCCUGGUGUAGCAGUGAAAUGCGUAGAUAUCAGGAGGAAUACCGAUGGCGAAGGCGGGUCUCUGGGCCGAUACUGACGCUGAGGAGCGAAAGCGUGGGGAGCGAACAGG
Molecule: ribosomal RNA, 253 nt
Filed under: uncultured bacterium
Lineage: Bacteria
Description: partial 16S ribosomal RNA
Rfam family: Bacterial small subunit ribosomal RNA
Source: RNAcentral